UGCUUGGAUAAAAAGCGUUGC
Caenorhabditis elegans is the source of this 21-nucleotide non-coding RNA. Lineage: Eukaryota; Metazoa; Nematoda; Chromadorea; Rhabditida; Rhabditidae. The record is from Ensembl.